Molecule: transfer RNA, 72 nt
Filed under: Dipodomys ordii (Ord's kangaroo rat)
Lineage: Eukaryota; Metazoa; Chordata; Mammalia; Rodentia; Heteromyidae
Rfam family: tRNA
About the family: Transfer RNA (tRNA) molecules are approximately 80 nucleotides in length.
Source: Rfam by way of RNAcentral
GGAAAUAUAGCUUAGUAGUAGAGUGCUUGCCUAGCAUGCAUGAAGCCCUGGGUUCGAAAUUCCUCAGUACCA